Molecule: ribosomal RNA, 921 nt
Filed under: uncultured marine archaeon
Lineage: Archaea
Description: bacterial SSU rRNA
Rfam family: Archaeal small subunit ribosomal RNA
Source: RNAcentral
GACCCGACUGCUAUCGGAUUGAGAUUAAGCCAUGCGAGUUGAACAUUUUUUAACUAUGUGAAAAGUGUAGCAUACGGCUCAGUAACACGUAGUCAACCUACCCUGAAGUCACAAAUAACCCCGGGAAACUGGGAUUAAUAGGUGAUAUGUCAUUUUUUCUGGAAGGGUUUAUAAUUUAAACGAUUAUCAAGCUUGUUUGAUUAAUUGCUUUAGGAUGGGACUGCGACCGAUCAGGUUGUUGGUGGGGUAAUGGCCUACCAAGCCGAUAACCGGUGCGGGCUUUGAGAGAAGGAGCCCGGAGAUGGACACUGAGAAAAGGGUCCAGGCCCUACGGGGCGCAGCAGGCGCGAAAACUUCGCAAUGUGCGAAGGCACGACGAGGUUAGUCCGAGUGUCAUUUGCUGAAUUUGACUUUUAAUAAAUGUAAGUAGUUUAUGGAAUAAGGGGAGGGAAAGUCUGGUGUCAGCCGCCGCGGUAAUACCAGCUCCCCGAGUGGUUGGGACGAUUAUUGGGCCUAAAGCAUCCGUAGCCUGUUUUGUAGGUCUCAUGUUAAAUCCAUUCGCUUAACGAAUGGUUUGCAUGAGAUACCGCAUUGCUAGGAGGCGGGAGACGUGAACGGUAUUCCAUGGGUAGGGGUAAAAUCCUCUGAACCAUGGAAGACCACCAGUGGCGAAGGCGGUUCACGAGAACGCGCUCGACGGUGAGGGAUGAAAGCUGGGGUAGCGAACCGGAUUAGAUACCCGGGUAGUCCCAACUGUAAACGAUGCAAGCUAGGUGAUGGAUUAGCCAUGUGUUAAUCCAGUGCCGCAGGGAAGCCGUUAAGCUUGCCGCCUGGGGAGUACGGUCGCAAGGCUGAAACUUAAAGGAAUUGGCGGGGGAGCACCACAAGGAGUGAAGCCUGCGGUUCAAUUGGAGUCAACGC